GAUGAAGAACGCAGUGAAAUGCGAUAAGUAAUGUGAAUUGCAGAACUCAGUGAAUCAUCGAAUCUUUGAACGCACAUUGCGCUCCCUGGUAUUCCGGGGAGCAUGCCUGUUCGAGCGUCAUUACAACCCUCAAGCUCUGCUUGGUGUUGGGCCCCGCCGCCCCGGCGGGCCCUAAAGUCAGUGGCGGUGCCGUCCGGCUCCGAGCGUAGUAAUUUUUCUCGCUUUGGAGGCCCGGGCGCGUGCUUGCCAUCAACCCCCAAUUUUUUUCAGGUUGACCUCGGAUCAGGUAGGGAUACCCGCUGAACUUAAGCAUAUCAAUAAGCGGAGGA
Molecule: unclassified non-coding RNA, 329 nt
Filed under: soil metagenome
Description: partial contains 5.8S ribosomal RNA, internal transcribed spacer 2, and large subunit ribosomal RNA
Rfam family: 5.8S ribosomal RNA (bases 1-120)
Source: RNAcentral